CAGCCGCCACGGGAAUACGUAGGUGGCAAGCGUUGUCCGGAAUUAUUGGGCGUAAAGGGCUCGCAGGCGGUUUCUUAAGUCUGAUGUGAAAGCCCCCGGCUCAACCGGGGAGGGUCAUUGGAAACUGGGAAACUUGAGUGCAGAAGAGGAGAGUGGAAAUCCACGUGUAGCGGUGAAAUGCGUAGAGAUGUGGAGGAACACCAGUGGCGAAGGCGACUCUCUGGUCUGUAACUGACGCUGAGGAGCGAAAGCGUGGGGAGCGAACAGGAUUAGAUACCCCGGUAGUCCCUGUCUCUUAUAC
RNAcentral lists this ribosomal RNA (301 nucleotides) under uncultured bacterium. RNAcentral's name for it is "partial 16S ribosomal RNA". It matches the Rfam family "Bacterial small subunit ribosomal RNA", at positions 509 to 807 of the family's 1533-position model. The record is from RNAcentral.